GACGAACGCUGGCGGCGUGCUUAACACAUGCAAGUCGAACGAAGUGGCCAACGGGUUAGUAAGACGUCGGUCACCUCCCCUCCUUUUUGGGAUAAGCCUUGGAAACUGGUUCUACUACCUAAUAAUGUGGGCUGGGCGCGCGGGCUGUGAGCUUGUUGGUGGGGAGAUGGCCUAGCAAGGCGGGGACGGGUAGCCGGCCUGAGAGGGUGACCGGCCAUGUUAGGGCGGCGAUACGGCCACGAGAGCUACGGGAGGCGGCAGUGGGGGAUAGUGCGCAAUGGGGGAGAGGCUAAUGCAGCGACGCCGUGUGGGGGAUGAGGGCGUACGGGUUGUAAACCUGUUACGCUAGGCAACGGGUAGGUGGAGAAGAAGCGCCGGCUAACUACGUGCCAGCAGCCGCGGUAAUAC
This 408-nucleotide ribosomal RNA is filed under the name uncultured bacterium. RNAcentral describes it as "partial 16S ribosomal RNA". It matches the Rfam family "Bacterial small subunit ribosomal RNA", at positions 28 to 526 of the family's 1533-position model. The record is from RNAcentral.